Molecule: ribosomal RNA, 460 nt
Filed under: uncultured bacterium
Lineage: Bacteria
Description: partial 16S ribosomal RNA
Rfam family: Bacterial small subunit ribosomal RNA
Source: RNAcentral
CCUACGGGAGGCAGCAGUGAGGAAUAUUGGUCAAUGGACGAGAGUCUGAACCAGCCAAGUAGCGUGAAGGAUGACUGCUCUAUGGGUUGUAAACUUCUUUUAUAAGGGAAUAAAACGAGGCACGUGUGCCUUUUUGCAUGUACUCUAUGAAUAAGGAUCGGCUAACUCCGUGCCAGCAGCCGCGGUAAUACGGAGGAUGCGAGCGUUAUCCGGAUUUAUUGGGUUUAAAGGGUGCGUAGAUGGUUUGUUAAGUCAGUUGUGAAAGUUUGUGGCUCAACCGUAAAAUUGCAAUUGAGACUGGAAGUCUUGAGUGCGGUUGAGGUAGGCGGAAUUCGUGGUGUAGCGGUGAAAUGCUUAGAUAUCACGAAGAACUCCGAUUGCGAAGGCAGUUCACUAGGCUACAACUGACACUGAAGCUCGAAAGUGUGGGUAUCAAACAGGAUUAGAUACCCCAGUAGUC